GUGCGUCACCGGGGGUGUCCUGAAGAGCAGGACUGAGAUAAACCCUUGGAACCUGAACCGGAUCAUACCGGCGGAGGGAGUGUGACCAGGCCACGGC
RNAcentral lists this non-coding RNA (97 nucleotides) under Deinococcus deserti. RNAcentral describes it as "TPP sequence". It matches the Rfam family "TPP riboswitch aptamer (THI element)". Rfam says of the family: Vitamin B(1) in its active form thiamin pyrophosphate (TPP) is an essential coenzyme that is synthesised by coupling of pyrimidine and thiazole moieties in bacteria. The previously detected thiamin-regulatory element, thi box was extended, resulting in a new, highly conserved RNA secondary structure, the THI element, which is widely distributed in eubacteria and also occurs in some archaea. The record is from RNAcentral. Lineage: Bacteria; Thermotogati; Deinococcota; Deinococci; Deinococcales; Deinococcaceae. RNAcentral also lists the same sequence under 1 other name.